CAAGUCGAACGAUGAACCCCGCUUGCGGGGGGAUUAGUGGCGAACGGGUGAGUAACACGUGAGUAACCUGCCCUUAACUCUGGGAUAAGCCUUGGAAACGGGGUCUAAUACUGGAUAUUGACUUUUCCUCGCAUGGGGAUUGGUUGAAAGAUUUAUUGGUUUUGGAUGGACUCGCGGCCUAUCAGCUUGUUGGUGAGGUAAUGGCUCACCAAGGCGACGACGGGUAGCCGGCCUGAGAGGGUGACCGGCCACACUGGGACUGAGACACGGCCCAGACUCCUACGGGAGGCAGCAGUGGGGAAUAUUGCACAAUGGGCGAAAGCCUGAUGCAGCGACGCCGCGUGAGGGAUGACGGCCUUCGGGUUGUAAACCUCUUUCAGUAGGGAACAAGGCCAGUGUUUAGCUGGUUGAGGGUACUUGCAGAAGAAGCGCCGGCUAACUACGUGCCAGCAGCCGCGGUAAUACGUAGGGCGCAAGCGUUAUCCGGAAUUAUUGGGCGUAAAGAGCUCGUAGGCGGUUUGUCGCGUCUGCCGUGAAAGUCCGGGGCUCAACCCCGGAUCUGCGGUGGGUACGGGCAGACUAGAGUGAUGUAGGGGAGACUGGAAUUCCUGGUGUAGCGGUGAAAUGCGCAGAUAUCAGGAGGAACACCGAUGGCGAAGGCAGGUCUCUGGGCAUUAACUGACGCUGAUGAGCGAAAGCAUGGGGAGCGAACAGGAUUAGAUACCCUGGUAGUCCAUGCCGUAAACGUUGGGCACUAGGCGUGCGGGACAUUCCACGUUUUCCGCGCCG
Molecule: ribosomal RNA, 789 nt
Filed under: Arthrobacter sp.
Lineage: Bacteria; Bacillati; Actinomycetota; Actinomycetes; Micrococcales; Micrococcaceae
Description: bacterial SSU rRNA
Rfam family: Bacterial small subunit ribosomal RNA
Source: RNAcentral